AAAAAGACAAACCCUGGGUUUCCGUGUCCAAUGUUUGACUGUCCGUCUUAUAUGAAAUUUUUUUAUAAUUAGUAUUUUCAUUGUUGUUAGAUGAUAAAACAUGAUUAAUACUUUAUGCAUGACUUGUCUUUUUAAUUUUUUUAUAACUAGCAAUAGUGCUCGUGCGUUGCAACGGGAAAAACACCGUU
RNAcentral lists this microRNA precursor (188 nucleotides) under Oryza glumipatula. RNAcentral describes it as "MIR812 microRNA precursor family". It matches the Rfam family "MIR812 microRNA precursor family", at positions 1 to 166 of the family's 205-position model. Lineage: Eukaryota; Viridiplantae; Streptophyta; Magnoliopsida; Poales; Poaceae. The record is from Rfam by way of RNAcentral.